AUUACUAUAAUUUAAUCUUAAAAAUACAGGUUUGUGGUACCUGAGAUGUGAACUUAAAUCACUAGUGAUC
RNAcentral lists this transfer RNA (70 nucleotides) under Simocephalus vetulus. RNAcentral describes it as "tRNA-His". It matches the Rfam family "tRNA". Rfam says of the family: Transfer RNA (tRNA) molecules are approximately 80 nucleotides in length. Their secondary structure includes four short double-helical elements and three loops (D, anti-codon, and T loops). The record is from RNAcentral. Lineage: Eukaryota; Metazoa; Arthropoda; Branchiopoda; Diplostraca; Daphniidae.